AUCCAGUUAAAGAGUCCCAAACAGGACGAAAUGUACAUCCUGGUU
This 45-nucleotide non-coding RNA is filed under the name Trichobilharzia regenti. The record is from RNAcentral. Lineage: Eukaryota; Metazoa; Platyhelminthes; Trematoda; Strigeidida; Schistosomatidae.